Molecule: long non-coding RNA, 209 nt
Filed under: Dromaius novaehollandiae (emu)
Lineage: Eukaryota; Metazoa; Chordata; Aves; Casuariiformes; Dromaiidae
Description: lncRNA (ENSDNVG00000014839.1)
Source: RNAcentral
AAUUGCUGGUGAUUCAACAACGCCAGUUCAGGUGCUUAAUUCAUGUCUGCAAGGCAGGAUUUAAACGCAGGAAAAUACCUGCGCUAGGUGCUGGAAAGUUAAUUGUGGAGACGUUGCGCCUUAGUCCCUCCUGUGGAUCUGUUGCCUGGAUAAGGUCAGCAGCCAAUCUACAGAGUUCCCUGAUAUGGCAGGUCGCAUACUUGAAAAAU